GCACCAAUGGUUUAAUGGUAAAAUAUGCGCUUCCCAUGCGCAUGCUACGGGUUCGAUUCCCGUUUGGUGCA
Non-coding RNA from Monilinia vaccinii-corymbosi, 71 nucleotides. NCBI's taxonomy places the organism in Eukaryota, Fungi, Ascomycota, Leotiomycetes, Helotiales, Sclerotiniaceae. The record is from the annotation of a GenBank genome assembly.